Molecule: ribosomal RNA, 450 nt
Filed under: uncultured bacterium
Lineage: Bacteria
Description: partial 16S ribosomal RNA
Rfam family: Bacterial small subunit ribosomal RNA
Source: RNAcentral
GUGGGGAAUUUUGGACAAUGGGCGAAAGCCUGAUCCAGCCAUGCCGCGUGCAGGAUGAAGGCCUUCGGGUUGUAAACUGCUUUUGUACGGAACGAAAAGACUCCUUCUAAUAAAGGGGGUCCAUGACGGUACCGUAAGAAUAAGCACCGGCUAACUACGUGCCAGCAGCCGCGGUAAUACGUAGGGUGCAAGCGUUAAUCGGAAUUACUGGGCGUAAAGCGUGCGCAGGCGGUUAUAUAAGACAGAUGUGAAAUCCCCGGGCUCAACCUGGGAACUGCAUUUGUGACUGUAUAGCUAGAGUACGGUAGAGGGGGGUGGAAUUCCGCGUGUAGCAGUGAAAUGCGUAGAUAUGCGGAGGAACACCGAUGGCGAAGGCAAUCCCCUGGACCUGUACUGACGCUCAUGCACGAAAGCGUGGGGAGCAAACAGGAUUAGAAACCCCUGUAGUCC